RNAcentral lists this long non-coding RNA (507 nucleotides) under Trifolium pratense (red clover). Its description in RNAcentral is "long non-coding RNA (TPRA_LNC013288)". Lineage: Eukaryota; Viridiplantae; Streptophyta; Magnoliopsida; Fabales; Fabaceae. The record is from RNAcentral.
UGAGAGCUUUCCUUUCGAGAAUUGUAAGAGAUAAUUAUUUAUUAUAUUCAAACUGCACUCUUUUUCCCUACAUCAAGGUUUUAUCCCACUGGGUUUUCCUUGAUGAGGUUUUUAAUGAGGCAGUUGACCAAUAAUUUGGUAUGCAUUGUUGUUAUUUUGGGUUUUGGUCUAGUCCCCCCAAGCUUUUUCUUUUUUAUUUUAAUAAUAUUUGGUUAAAGUUGAGCAUUUUGAAUGUGGAUGCAAAUGUGCCAACAUAGUUGGGAUGUAUGUGGCUUCAUCUUUUGCUUCACUUUAACUUCUAUUGGUGCUUAAAUUGGAAAAAUUAGCAGAAAAAAUUUUGGUCAGGAACAGUGGGAGGGGGGUGUUUGAAUGAAUUUUCUGGUGAGUUGGAGGUGCAUACUUUGAAUGUAUUGUUGUUUUGAUUGUAUAUUUGGUCAUUUUAGAAUGUCAUUUGUUGAAAGAUUAUAAUUUCUUUUAGAUUCAAUGCAUUUCAUUUAGAUUAAAUUA